RNAcentral lists this ribosomal RNA (811 nucleotides) under Salmonella enterica. RNAcentral describes it as "partial 23S ribosomal RNA". It matches the Rfam family "Bacterial large subunit ribosomal RNA", at positions 711 to 1523 of the family's 2925-position model. RNAcentral also lists the same sequence under 1 other name. Lineage: Bacteria; Pseudomonadati; Pseudomonadota; Gammaproteobacteria; Enterobacterales; Enterobacteriaceae. The record is from RNAcentral.
AGACCCGAAACCCGGUGAUCUAGCCAUGGGCAGGUUGAAGGUUGGGUAACACUAACUGGAGGACCGAACCGACUAAUGUUGAAAAAUUAGCGGAUGACCUGUGGCUGGGGGUGAAAGGCCAAUCAAACCGGGAGAUAGCUGGUUCUCCCCGAAAGCUAUUUAGGUAGCGCCUCGUGAAUUCAUCUCCGGGGGUAGAGCACUGUUUCGGCUAGGGGGCCAUCCCGGCUUACCAACCCGAUGCAAACUGCGAAUACCGGAGAAUGUUAUCACGGGAGACACACGGCGGGUGCUAACGUCCGUCGUGAAGAGGGAAACAACCCAGACCGCCAGCUAAGGUCCCAAAGUCAUGGUUAAGUGGGAAACGAUGUGGGAAGGCCCAGACAGCCAGGAUGUUGGCUUAGAAGCAGCCAUCAUUUAAAGAAAGCGUAAUAGCUCACUGGUCGAGUCGGCCUGCGCGGAAGAUGUAACGGGGCUAAACCAUGCACCGAAGCUGCGGCAGCGACGCUGAUGCGUUGUUGGGUAGGGGAGCGUUCUGUAAGCCUGCGAAGGUGGCCUGUGAGGGUUGCUGGAGGUAUCAGAAGUGCGAAUGCUGACAUAAGUAACGAUAAAGCGGGUGAAAAGCCCGCUCGCCGGAAGACCAAGGGUUCCUGUCCAACGUUAAUCGGGGCAGGGUGAGUCGACCCCUAAGGCGAGGCCGAAAGGCGUAGUCGAUGGGAAACGGGUUAAUAUUCCCGUACUUGGUGUUACUGCGAAGGGGGGACGGAGAAGGCUAUGUUGGCCGGGCGACGGUUGUCCCGGUUUAAGCGUGUAG